Rhagoletis pomonella (apple maggot) is the source of this 157-nucleotide long non-coding RNA. RefSeq lists it as uncharacterized. The record is from RefSeq and is a predicted model, not a curated record. NCBI's taxonomy places the organism in Eukaryota, Metazoa, Arthropoda, Insecta, Diptera, Tephritidae. The transcript has 2 exons.
AAACUGCGCCCACAUAUACAGACACCUGCUUGACACUUGUAGUAUCAGUUCUAAACUGCACGACAAACGAGACGGACGUCGUGGAGCUAAAAUUUAAUUAAUGUACCCCCUGAAGACGAUCUCCGGAGGAGAUUGAAAUAUAUUGGGAAGGAAUGUA